Molecule: ribosomal RNA, 254 nt
Filed under: uncultured bacterium
Lineage: Bacteria
Description: partial 16S ribosomal RNA
Rfam family: Bacterial small subunit ribosomal RNA
Source: RNAcentral
GAUCCUGGCUCAGGAUGAACGCUGGCGGCGUGCUUAACACAUGCAAGUCGAACGGGAAACUUUUCAUUGAAGCUUCGGCAGAUUUGGUCUGUUUCUAGUGGCGGACGGGUGAGUAACGCGUGGGUAACCUGCCUUAUACAGGGGGAUAACAACCAGAAAUGGUUGCUAAUACCGCAUAAGCGCACAGGACCGCAUGGUCCGGUGCGAAAAACUCCGGUGGUAUAAGAUGGACCCGCGUUGGAUUAGCUAGUUGG